GAUGAACGCUAGCGGCAGGCUUAAUACAUGCAAGUCGAGGGGUAGCAAGAUUGUAGCAAUACAAUUGUUGACGACCGGCAAACGGGUGCGGAACACGUACACAACCUUCCUACAAGUGGGGAAUAGCCCAGAGAAAUUUGGAUUAAUACCCCGUAACAUAGCGAUGUGGCAUCACAUUGCUAUUAUAGCUUCGGCGCUUGUUGAUGGGUGUGCGGCUGGUUAGAUAGUUGGCGGGGUAACGGCCCACCAAGUCUACGAUCAGUGGCUGAUGUGAGAGCAUGAUCAGACACACGGGCACUGAGACACGGGCCCGAAUCCUACGGGAGGCAGCAGUAAGGAAUAUUAGACAAUGGACGCAAGUCUGAUCCAGCCAUGCGGCGUGAAGGAUUAAGGUCCUCUGGAUUGUAACCUUCUUUUAUAAGGGACGAAAAAAGGUCUUUCUAGAUCGUCUGACGGUACCGUAAGAAUAAGCACCGGCUAACUACGUGCCAGCCGCCGCAGUAA
This 504-nucleotide ribosomal RNA is filed under the name uncultured bacterium. Its description in RNAcentral is "partial 16S ribosomal RNA". It matches the Rfam family "Bacterial small subunit ribosomal RNA", at positions 28 to 523 of the family's 1533-position model. The record is from RNAcentral.